Molecule: long non-coding RNA, 454 nt
Organism: Marmota flaviventris (yellow-bellied marmot)
Lineage: Eukaryota; Metazoa; Chordata; Mammalia; Rodentia; Sciuridae
Source: RefSeq, a predicted model, not a curated record
GCGCCGGCGCACAUCAAAGGGGCGGGCCGCCCGCAGACCACGCCUCCCGGCUCUCCCGGAGGCUGUACGAGCGAGAGCGAAGCUUCCUCGGAGUCCGCUCCCAGCCACACCCCUCCUCCUCCGGUUUUGGCCACUCCGCCUUCUGGUGAAGGGACGGAGAGGAGAUGAGGAUUAGAGAGGAAAGAGGUGCAAGUUGUAUUUCCCGAGAACAUGAUAUGAACCAGGCUAGAUGGCCGCGUAUGUCACUGAAUAUUCACAACACCCAGGAGAAAUGAUUUGCCCAAGAGUUCAAACCCAGGGACACCUGACUCCAUUGGGUCCCAAAAGGAGUGUGGGCGUGAGCAUGGAACUUGAACAAGAAAAGGAGCUUCACAAAAGAAUGUUAAGGCCUGUUGCAGUGGUGCACACCUAUAAUCCCAGCGGCUCUGGAGGCUGAGGCAAGAGGAUGGCGAGU